CCUACGGGAGGCAGCAGUGGGGAAUAUUGGGCAAUGGGCGCAAGCCUGACCCAGCAACGCCGCGUGAAGGAAGAAGGCUUUCGGGUUGUAAACUUCUUUUAAGAGGGAAGAGCAGAAGACGGUACCUCUUGAGUAAGCCACGGCUAACUACGUGCCAGCAGCCGCGGUAAUAAGUAGGUGGCAAGCGUUGUCCGGAUUUACUGGGGGUAAAGGGCGUGCAGCCGGGAAGACAAGGCAGAUGUGAAAUCCCGCGGCUCAACCGCGGAACUGCAUUUGAAACUGGUUUUCUUGAGUACCGGAGAGGUCAUCGGAAUGCCUGGUGUAGCGGUGAAAUGCGUAGAUAUAAGGAAGAACACCAGUGGCGAAGGCGGAUGACUGGACGGCAACUGACGGUGAGGCGCGAAAGCGUGGGGAGCAAACAGGAUUAGAUACCCGGGUAGUC
Molecule: ribosomal RNA, 442 nt
Filed under: uncultured bacterium
Lineage: Bacteria
Description: partial 16S ribosomal RNA
Rfam family: Bacterial small subunit ribosomal RNA
Source: RNAcentral